CCCUAGGAGCCCCGGGAUGCUGGCGCCCAGGGCCUACUCCCCUCACGCCACACCCUGCCAAC
This 62-nucleotide small RNA is filed under the name Homo sapiens (human). RNAcentral's name for it is "nc065 non-coding RNA". The record is from RNAcentral. Lineage: Eukaryota; Metazoa; Chordata; Mammalia; Primates; Hominidae.